RNAcentral lists this ribosomal RNA (274 nucleotides) under uncultured bacterium. RNAcentral describes it as "partial 16S ribosomal RNA". It matches the Rfam family "Bacterial small subunit ribosomal RNA", at positions 44 to 334 of the family's 1533-position model. The record is from RNAcentral.
GCGCUUAACACAUGCAAGUCGCACGAGAAAGGGGGCAACCCUGAGUAAAGUGGCGUACGGGUGAGUAACACGUGGAUCAUCUACCUUCUAGUGGGGAAUAACCCUGGGAAACCGGGGCUAAUACCGCAUAAGCCCGUGAGGGGAAAGCAGCAAUGCGCUGGAAGAGGAGUCCGCGGCUGAUUAGCUAGUUGGCGAGGUAAUGGCCCACCAAGGCGAAGAUCGGUAGCCGGCCUGAGAGGGCACACGGCCACACUGGCACUGAAACACGGGCCAG